RNAcentral lists this ribosomal RNA (459 nucleotides) under uncultured bacterium. Its description in RNAcentral is "partial 16S ribosomal RNA". It matches the Rfam family "Bacterial small subunit ribosomal RNA", at positions 339 to 795 of the family's 1533-position model. The record is from RNAcentral.
CUACGGGAUGCAGCAGUGAGGAAUAUUGGACAAUGGUCGAAAGACUGAUCCAGCCAUGCCGCGUGCAGGAUGAAUGCCCUAUGGGUUGUAAACUGCUUUUAUACGGGAAGAACACCACCCACGUGUGGGUGACUGACGGUACCGUAAGAAUAAGGACCGGCUAACUCCGUGCCAGCAGCCGCGGUAAUACGGAGGGUCCAAGCGUUAUCCGGAAUCAUUGGGUUUAAAGGGUCCGUAGGCGGGCUAUUAAGUCAGAGGUGAAAGUUUGCAGCUCAACUGUAAAAUUGCCUUUGAUACUGGUAGUCUUGAGUUAUAGUGAAGUGGUUAGAAUAUGUGGUGUAGCGGUGAAAUGCAUAGAUAUCACAUAGAAUACCAAUUGCGAAGGCAGAUCACUAACUAUAUACUGACGCUGAUGGACGAAAGCGUGGGGAGCGAACGGGAUUAGAUACCCUCGUAGUC